RNAcentral lists this long non-coding RNA (1184 nucleotides) under Homo sapiens (human). Its description in RNAcentral is "non-protein coding lnc-TBC1D3I-2:1". The record is from RNAcentral. Lineage: Eukaryota; Metazoa; Chordata; Mammalia; Primates; Hominidae.
GGCUUGGCACAUAGUAGCUAUUGCUACUAUUAUGAAUGUUGUUUUGUCUUUGUUUUUGUUUUGAGACAGGGCCUCACUCUGUUGCCCAGGUUGGAGUACAGCAGUGCCAUCAUAGCUCACUGAAGAUGUUAUCCCAACAGUGCAGAAGCACAGCCUGAGUCUCUUCUUUGGCUGAGCCAAGGGCGUGCUGGAGAGGCCUGACAGAAGAAGGAGCGGCCCUUGUGACCAGUGCCAAUGGUAAUUAUUGAAAUGAGAGACUCAAAAGAAGAUGGAACGUGAACUUUUUUGUUGUCCCAUGUGGACACCUGUGUUCGGUUUCCAGUUCUACCUUUGCUGUCUGUGUGUUCUUAAGUAACUCACUUAAACCUUUCUGAGUCUCAUUUUCUCGGAGCUUGCAGUGAGCCGAGAUUGCGCCACUGCAGUCCGCAGUCUGGCCUGGGCGACAGAACAAGAGAUAACAAGUGUUGGCGAAAGCAUAGAGGAAAGAGAACCCUUGUACACUGUUGGUUGGAAUGUAAAGUGGUAUAACCUUUACAGAAAACAGUAUGGAGGUUCCUCAAAAAAUUAGAAGCAGAACUACCAUACGAUUCAGCAAUCAGGUUAGAACCUUGAAGAGAGAUCUGCGCCCCAUGUUUAUUACAACACUAUUCACAAUACCCAAGAUAUGGAAACAGCCUAAGUGUCCAGCAACAGAUGAAUGGAUAAAUAAAAUACAUAUAAACAAUGGACUAUUAGCCAUUCAAAAGAAGAAACUCCUGUCCUGGAUAAACCUGGAGGACAUUACGCUAAGUGAAAUAAGCCAGACACCGAAAGACAAGUUUUGUAUGAUCUCACUUAUAUGUGGGAUCUAAGAGAGUCAAACUCAUAAAAACAGAUAGUAGAAUGGUGGUUGCCAAGGGCUGGAGGUGGGGAAAAUGGGAAGCUAUUAAUCAAAGGGUGUAAACUUUCAGUUAUAAGAUGAACAAAUUCUGGAGAUUUAAUGUACAGCAUAGGUGGUAAUGGAUGUAAUAAAUUUGAUUGUGAUAAUUAGUACACAAUAUAUACAUAUAUGAAAUCAUCACAUUGUAUGCAUUAAAUAUACACAAUCCUUGUCAACUCAAUAUUUUUAAAAAAAUGUUUAAAAUGCCUAGGUCAUAAGAAUUCUGAGAAUGAAAUACAACAACAUACAUGAAUGGACCUGCUAC